This 544-nucleotide long non-coding RNA is filed under the name Mytilus galloprovincialis (Mediterranean mussel). Lineage: Eukaryota; Metazoa; Mollusca; Bivalvia; Mytilida; Mytilidae. The record is from RNAcentral.
AAUAGACCACUUUCGAGUUCAUCCGUCACCGGCAAAAACUCGUCAAUUAUGCGCGCCUUUAUGACGUCAUUUACCAGAUAGAGGGGAUCGCCUGUAUCCCUGCACUAUUUACGUUCAUCAAGCGUCUUAGUGAUCGUCGUUGUGCAGGUUAAACUAGAAAUAAUGGUUGUUCUGUAGGUACUUAAUGACAAUUCCCUAAUGACAGCAGUGCUGAUUGUCAAUUUUGAGAAUUUAAUUUGCUGAAUAAUUCGUACAAUAUAGAAUUAUAGUUUUCCAACCACUCGCUCAACAUUGAAACGGAAGUGACGACGCCCCUAAACGCACAAAUGACGUUCACUAAAACCAGAGUUUUUGACGGAAAUGCAUCAAACUCGAAAGUUGUCUAUUGAAGAAUGCUCAGUACUUACUGAUCAAGCAGGAUAAGGAAUAAACAACAGCAGAAGGUCACCAACAGGUCUUCAAUGUAGAGAGAAAUUCCCGCACCCGGAGGCGUCCCUCAGCUGGCUCCUAAACAAAUAUAUACUAGUUCAGUGAUAAUGAAGGC